GCUUGGUGUGGUGGUGCAUACCUGUAAUCCCAGCAGCUCAGGAGGCUGAGGCAGGAGGAUUUCAAGUUCCAGGCCAGCCUCAGCAAAUCAACAAGGCCCUAAGCAACUUGGCAAGAUGCUGUCUCAA
RNAcentral lists this small RNA (127 nucleotides) under Marmota monax (woodchuck). Lineage: Eukaryota; Metazoa; Chordata; Mammalia; Rodentia; Sciuridae. The record is from RNAcentral.